RNAcentral lists this ribosomal RNA (707 nucleotides) under uncultured Planctomycetota bacterium. RNAcentral describes it as "bacterial SSU rRNA". It matches the Rfam family "Bacterial small subunit ribosomal RNA", at positions 58 to 766 of the family's 1533-position model. Lineage: Bacteria; Pseudomonadati; Planctomycetota. The record is from RNAcentral.
CAAGUCGAACGAAUCCCUCUGUUGUAGCAAUACAGUGGAGGGGGAAGUGGCGAAAGGGGCAGUAAUGUAUGGGUAACCUACCCGGGGGUCGUGGAUAGCCUUCCUAACGGAUGGGUAAUACACGGCGAUUCAGCGAGGCGGCAUCACCUUGCUGGGAAAGAAUUUCGCCUCCGGAGGGGCUCAUAUCGUAUUAGCUAGUUGGUGAGGUAACGGCUCACCAAGGCAAAGAUGCGUAGCGGGUGUGAGAGCACGACCCGCGCCACUGGCACUGAGACACUGGCCAGACACCUACGGGUGGCUGCAGUCGAGGAUCUUCGGCAAUGGGCGCAAGCCUGACCGAGCGACGCCGCGUGGAGGAUGAAGGCCUUCGGGUUGUAAACUCCUGUCGAGGGGGAUCAAUGUCGCAAGACUUGAGUGAUCCCUGGAGGAAGCACGGGCUAAGUUCGUGCCAGCAGCCGCGGUAAGACGAACCGUGCGAACGUUGUUCGGAAUCACUGGGCAUAAAGGGCGCGUAGGCGGCUUUUCAAGUCAGGGGUGAAAUCCGGCAGCUUAACUGUCGAAGUGCCCUUGAUACUGACGAGCUCGAGGGAGGUAGGGGUGUGUGGAACUUCCGGUGGAGCGGUGAAAUGCGUUGAUAUCGGAAGGAACGCCGGUGGCGAAAGCGACGCACUGGACCUCUUCUGACGCUGAGGCGCGAAAGCCAUGGG